RNAcentral lists this ribosomal RNA (305 nucleotides) under uncultured bacterium. RNAcentral's name for it is "bacterial SSU rRNA". It matches the Rfam family "Bacterial small subunit ribosomal RNA", at positions 335 to 638 of the family's 1533-position model. The record is from RNAcentral.
CUUCCUACGGGGCGCAGCAGUGAGGAAUAUUGGUCAAUGGGCGGGAGCCUGAACCAGCCAUGCCGCGUGAAGGCGAGUGCCCUACGGGCGUUAAACUUCUUUUGUGCGGGAGCAAUAAGGGCCACGUGUGGCCCGAUGAGAGUACCGCACGAAUAAGCCACGGCUAACUACGUGCCAGCAGCCGCGGUAAUACGUAGGUGGCAAGCGUUAUCCGGAUUUACUGGGUGUAAAGGGCGUGUAGGCGGGAUGGUAAGUCAGAUGUGAAAACUACGGGCUCAACCCAUAGCCUGCAUUUGAAACUAUCG